AAAGCUUAAUCUUUCUUCAUCUUCUAUUGAUUUUUCACCAAGAAACAGCCAUGGGAGAGCUCAAAAUUUCAGCAACAUAAUCCUCUAGCAUAUCAAGAAAAGCAACUUACGGAUUUAAAUCGGGGAAAAGAUAAAGUAUUGUAUUAAGCAACUAUUAUCUCCGUGCAAAUUUGAGAUAUCGGAAGCUCGUUCGGGUUGGAAAUUGGCGGAGAUUUCAUCACACUAUUUAUCAGCUAUUUUGGUAUUAUGGUUUUAUAAUUCUGGUUAUAAUGGCAUUUAUAGGUCAUCUUGGCUAAUGGUAGCUUAUAUGUCUUGUUGUGUUUUUAGCCAUUCAAUAUUGCUUGAAAAUGGUAU
Long non-coding RNA from Gossypium arboreum, 354 nucleotides. RefSeq lists it as uncharacterized. NCBI's taxonomy places the organism in Eukaryota, Viridiplantae, Streptophyta, Magnoliopsida, Malvales, Malvaceae. The record is from RefSeq and is a predicted model, not a curated record. The transcript is spliced from 3 exons.